UAAUUAUACAUACAUGUGUUACCUACGAUAGUUAGUAGAUCAAUGUAGUUUUUUGCAUAAAUGCUAUAACGGCCUAAAAAUCGUAUUUGAUAGGUAAACAGCUAUCCUGUACAAAAGACUCGCAGAUUUGUGAAAUGAUGUUAAAGCGAUUUGGCCCUUCGCCAGUUUUUCUUUUUUGUUGUUGUUAAACGAGACGCCGCGAAAAAACACUAUUUUUACGUGUUGCUGAACUCGAUUGUUAGAUACUCAUAAUAAUAUUAUAUUAUAGUCAUCUCGUUAUAAUUUAACAAGAUUAGACAAUUCAUUAUUCUAUAAAUAUUUUGUUAUCGUCUUUAUUAUAGUAUAAUAUAUAAAGCAGUGAGACAGUAAACAAUUUUUGAUGACGACAAAAGGUACUUGAACAUCCGGCAGGAAAUAAUAGUAUUUUAUACAAUCAUAUACGUGUAUUAUAUAAUAUGACAUCGUUUAAAUUUUUAAAAAUAUUCGCAAACGUUUGGAAAUAACAAAUCGUUUUUUUUUCUACGGG
Non-coding RNA from Cinara cedri, 526 nucleotides. The record is from the annotation of a GenBank genome assembly. NCBI's taxonomy places the organism in Eukaryota, Metazoa, Arthropoda, Insecta, Hemiptera, Aphididae.